RNAcentral lists this ribosomal RNA (493 nucleotides) under uncultured bacterium. Its description in RNAcentral is "partial 16S ribosomal RNA". It matches the Rfam family "Bacterial small subunit ribosomal RNA", at positions 30 to 523 of the family's 1533-position model. The record is from RNAcentral.
AUUGAACGCUGGCGGCAUGCUUUACACAUGCAAGUCGAACGGUAACAGGUUAAGCUGACGAGUGGCGAACGGGUGAGUAAUGCAUCGGAACGUGCCCGGUCGUGGGGGAUAACGCAGCGAAAGCUGCGCUAAUACCGCAUACGAUCUGAGGAUGAAAGCGGGGGACCGUAAGGCCUCGCGCGAUCGGAGCGGCCGAUGUCAGAUUAGGUAGUUGGUGGGGUAAAGGCCCACCAAGCCGACGAUCUGUAGCUGGUCUGAGAGGACGACCAGCCACACUGGGACUGAGACACGGCCCAGACUCCUACGGGAGGCAGCAGUGGGGAAUUUUGGACAAUGGGCGAAAGCCUGAUCCAGCAAUGCCGCGUGCAGGAAGAAGGCCUUCGGGUUGUAAACUGCUUUUGUACGGAGCGAAAAGGUCCUUUCUAAUACAAGGGGCUCAUGACGGUACCGUAAGAAUAAGCACCGGCUAACUACGUGCCAGCCGCCGCCGUAA